Cavia porcellus (domestic guinea pig) is the source of this 2036-nucleotide long non-coding RNA. RefSeq lists it as uncharacterized. NCBI's taxonomy places the organism in Eukaryota, Metazoa, Chordata, Mammalia, Rodentia, Caviidae. The transcript has 4 exons. The record is from RefSeq and is a predicted model, not a curated record.
UUGUUUAAUUGCCUAACCUAACAGAUUGUAGCUUCACAUUAUGUAAAAAUUAACUUCAGUAAAUACAUUCUGUGGCUGAAAUUAUAAUUUGCAAUUGCCUAUGGUAGCUGGUGAAAGGAUGGCCAUAACAUUUCAUCCCUAUUCCCAUUAAAAGGUAGGACCUGCUGCCUGAUUUCUAAGUCUCAAUUAGAUUAUGACUGACUCUGAUUAACUUAAUGAAGAACAUGCUAUUGUGUGAGUUUAGGCAUCUAAGGUUUCCAUCUUCAUCCUCCUGGAAUGUUCUCACCACAAUGCAAGGAAAUACAGGCUAGGUAAUGAACAAUUAAUGUGCUUUAUGAUGUCAGGCACAUGAAUGAGGCUCCAGCUCUAUCUAAGAAGCCAAUGACUAUAGCCACAGGAGUGCUCCUAACUGAGCCCAGUCAACUCAUGGACUCAUGAGAAAUGACAAAUAAUGAGUACUUUUAAGCCACUGAUUGUUUGUUUGUUUUGAGAUAGGGUCUCCUGGACCUGAAUCAAGGCUGGCAGCUUCCUGAUGCUGUUGGUUUCAAGCAGGAGCCUAAAGAGAUGUCUUCCUAUGGCCUGUUGGACGUUUCAGAACUUGGGCAGUGAAAUGGUCAAUUCAUUAGAAAGAAACGGCUUGAAUCAAUCUCCCCACCCCUCCAUGAGCGUGGCAGGUUGCAGUGGCCCAGGACAGGAGCCACCAGGAGUUUACUGGGACCCACAUCAUGCUGUAUCCUGGAGCGCUGGGAAACCAAGCAACCCCUUCCCCCAUGGUGAACAGCUGUGAGCAUGGCAGGCUUCGGUGGCCCAGAAAGGGAGCCACCAGCGUUUAAUGGGACCCACGCCAUGCUGGGAUCUGGUGCACCAGGAAACCAAUCAAUCCCUACCCACAGUGUGCCACCAAACUCACCACUGGGAAGCUAAAUGCUAAGGAAGUGCUGAAAUUUGGGUAUCUUUUCACAAGGCAGGAACGAAAAGAAAAGGGAGGAAGACUACCGAGACAGAGUACCUCUGUCAUUACUUCAUAUCAAGGAUUUUUAGUAUGACAUCGCUAUUGACACUAACUUUGAUCACCUGGCUGAGGAUUUCAAUACGCAGUUUGAACUGGCCUAGAACUCACUCAGUAUUCAAGGCUGGACUCCAACUAGCAGUGAUCAUCCUACCUCAGCUUUCCAAGUGCUGGGAUUACAGGCAUGUAUGUCACCAUGCCUGGUCAAAUAUGUAUAUUUUGCAACAGUGAAACUGAAGUACUUGGGAGUCAUUCAAUGCAUUAAGCAUAAAUAAAACAAAUUUUAGAACCACAGUUUCUUUAUCAGAUCAUAAGGCUAAAAGAUAAAUAAAAAGUUCACAAAAAAUAGGUCAACUACUAAAAGAUUCAAUGGCUCAUCUAUAGUAAAGAAAACCUGGGAAUUCAUUAUACACAGCAUAGAUGUUUGUCAAACACAAAAAUCUGUAUGAAUCAGAGCAGGUCUAAUGACGUGAGCUGUUUUGAUUUAUGCAGUCACAAUACAGCUUCAUUUUAAUAUGGCAGAGUUAGCUAAGCUCUAUGCGCUUCUAAGACACUUUUUAUAGUGCAUUAUUAUAGAAUUUACUAUAAAUAACUGCUUAGGUCUUUCCUUUUAUUAGCCUGUAAGAUCCUAAAGAUAACAAACUUUAUAAUCCUAAUAACAAACAUAAACUUUAGGGCUAAACUCAGUUUAUUUGUUAAAUUAAUGACUGUGUAAACAAGAUUGUCCUAAUCAGAUUUAGUUCCUAUAAUUUAUCUUCAUAGACGUAAUGAAAAUAUGCAUUAUACACUGACACUGAAAAUAAAGGUACAUCAUCUUCAAAAACAAAACAGUAUGUUCACUGGACAUUUACUCACUAAAUAUCUUCUUGGAUUCUACAAAACAUAUGGGCUUAUUCUAUUAAGUGUUAUAUUUAGGACAAGUACCUAACCAAUGUGUUCUUUUUAAAAAUGUAGAUCCUGUAUGGCUUUCUUACUCUAUGUACUCUGUAUUGUUUCUAAUCAGUUAUAAUUCACAUUUUUUAAAGUA